GCAGAUGGUAAAGCAUCUGCCUACAAUGCAGGAGACCCAGGUUCGAUCCCUGG
This 53-nucleotide transfer RNA is filed under the name Ovis aries (sheep). Lineage: Eukaryota; Metazoa; Chordata; Mammalia; Artiodactyla; Bovidae. The record is from Rfam by way of RNAcentral.